This 234-nucleotide long non-coding RNA is filed under the name Olea europaea (common olive). RNAcentral's name for it is "long non-coding RNA (OEUR_LNC002135)". The record is from RNAcentral. Lineage: Eukaryota; Viridiplantae; Streptophyta; Magnoliopsida; Lamiales; Oleaceae.
GGUAACACUGUCUUAACUAGCAUUUACUGAAAAAGCUAAUGUUGUGAUCUAUUACGUUCGUUGAAAUGCCACUUGAUCCAUUCAAAUUUCUCAUCGGCAUCUUGCAUGGCACUGAGAACGUCUCGAAAUCUUUUUUGCACUAGGAAAGUGCAAGCGUAGAAGUACAUGGCGUCCAUUGCUGGUGCCGACCAGUCAAAAGCAAUUCCUCCACACACACAACUCCAGCAUUGUCCG